UGCCAAGUGCGUCAAAUAAUGAUGUAAUUAUCACGGAAAUCCUUAUAAACGCACGUAUUAAGUUCCGUUUCAGAAGUAUACUACAUUGGACAAGAGUAACAGAUUUUUUAAUUGUAAGUGAACGAGGCUGCGUGUAGUGAGAAGAGGUUUCCUUCAGAUUAUAUGGGGUUCCAGUUCUUCAAACGAUCCACUAGCCGUACAAACCAGCCCCCAACUAGACGGCGAUCUUUUAGCUUCCGCCGAAGUCGUCAGUCAGGGGACGAGAGAAACUCGCAGAGUGGAAACACCUCGACCACUCAGCGCCAUGUUGGCGAAUGUUGCGCUGAGUUGCGAAGUUCACGAGAUAUAGGAAGAUGUUUGCGAGCGAUCGGGGACAAUCUUAACAACAGCACGCUGAGUCUUCACUCGGCAACGUAACCCAGUUAAAUUACCUGUUUGGAAAUUGAAUCAGAGGAAGACGUCGGAUAUAGUAUUUGCCAGCGAACGAGAUUUCAUGAAAGAAUUGUUUAAACUGUAGAAUGAAGAACAGCGAAGAGAGAACACUAAGGAACUUUCGUGUUGAAAGAGAAUUUCCGCUUUUACUUGAUUAUGAGCAGUGUGAUCUACUGUGUUUGACAAUCUCUAUUCACUGCGUCAAGAUAACAGAGACUUAGUAAAUGUGUUAUUUAUUCUUGUUAUAGCGACAUACGUGUGUUGAAAUAAAUCUGUGACGAAGUU
Molecule: long non-coding RNA, 717 nt
Organism: Pocillopora damicornis (cauliflower coral)
Lineage: Eukaryota; Metazoa; Cnidaria; Anthozoa; Scleractinia; Pocilloporidae
Source: RefSeq, a predicted model, not a curated record